UACAGAGGGGGCAAGCGUUAUUCGGAAUUAUUGGGCGUAAAGGGCGCGUAGGCGGCUUGGCAAGUGGAAGGUGAAAUCCCUCGGCUUAACCGAGGAACUGCCCUCCAAACUGUUUCGCUUGAGACCGGGAGAGGUGAGUGGAAUUCCCAGUGUAGCGGUGAAAUGCGUAGAUAUUGGGAGGAACACCAGUGGCGAAGGCGGCUCACUGGACCGGUACUGACGCUGAUGCGCGAAAGCGUGGGGAGCAAACGGG
This 253-nucleotide ribosomal RNA is filed under the name uncultured bacterium. RNAcentral describes it as "partial 16S ribosomal RNA". It matches the Rfam family "Bacterial small subunit ribosomal RNA", at positions 524 to 776 of the family's 1533-position model. The record is from RNAcentral.